CUAUGACUGACGCUGAGGUACGAAAGCGUNGGGAGCGAACAGGAUUAGAUACCCUGGUAGUCCACGCUGUAANCGAUGAUCACUCGUUGUUGGCGAUAUAGUGUCAGCGACUGAGCGAAAGCAUUAAGUGAUCCACCUGGGGAGUACGAUCGCAAGAUUGAUACUCAAAGGAAUUGACGGGGGCCCGCACAAGCGGAGGAAAAUGUGGUUUAAUUCGAUGAUACGCGAGGAACCUUACCUGGGCUUAAAUGUAGAACGACGGAUCGGGAAACUGAUCCUUCUUCGGACGGUCUGCAAGNUGCUGCAUGGCUGUCGUCAGCUCGUGCCGUGAGGUGUCGGGUUAAGUCCCAUAACGAGCGCAACCCUCAUCAUUAGUUGCCAGCGGGUAAUGCCGGGGACUCUAAUGAAACUGCCGGUGUAAACCGCGAGGAAGGUGGGGAUGACGUCAAGUCAGCACGGCCCUUAUGUCCAGGGCUACACACGUGUACCNAUGGUCGAUACAAGGCCCAGCUACCUGGUGACAGGAUACUAAUCUCUAAAUCGUCUNNNGUUCGGAUCGAAGUCUGCACUCGACUUCGUAAGCUGGAUUCGCUAGUA
Molecule: ribosomal RNA, 597 nt
Filed under: uncultured organism
Description: bacterial SSU rRNA
Rfam family: Bacterial small subunit ribosomal RNA
Source: RNAcentral